This 1185-nucleotide long non-coding RNA is filed under the name Fukomys damarensis (Damara mole-rat). RNAcentral describes it as "lncRNA (ENSFDAG00000021628.1)". The record is from RNAcentral. Lineage: Eukaryota; Metazoa; Chordata; Mammalia; Rodentia; Bathyergidae.
UGGGGUUUUAUUGUUUACAAGGUUUACAAUGUUUCUGAGAUUGAUGUCACAGUAGCUGAGUUUGAAUUCCUUUUACCAUCAACUCAACAUUUAUCUAGCUCUCCUCUCUGUCAAGUACUGGAUGUGCUCAAUAAAGCUGAGCCCUGACCCAUGAAGAAUUUACAGUCUAGCAGCAGGGAAAAGCCAAUCUAAUCCAGGAUGAUUUAUGGCAAAGGCUCUGAAGUCAGUAAAAUAAAGAGCUAUUGACUAUAGGAGAGGGCAUGAAUUGGGCUGAUGGGUUAUGCAUGAGAUGAGAAUCUCAAAAGCAUUGUGAAAUAAGCAAUGUUUAACCUUGUGCCUCUGGAGUGGGCCAGAAUCCUUCAAGGUCAAACCUUAGAAGGGAAUUCAUUCCCUCAGUGUUCUAGGGCAUGGGAGACACAACCUUAAUGGGAAGCUUUAGGAAGUUGUCUUAAUUUGAAUUUAUCCCCAAAAAGUAGAUCCUGAGAUGAGAAUUUGGAUAUGGUAUGGGUUUUUAUGUUUCGUUUUAAGAGAUGACUGUAGAAAGCAUGAGGAAGAUAGGAAUUGUAAGACAGGAAUUUAAAAAAUAGCCAGUAAAUGGAACACAAAUUAAUAUGUUGUUGCUAAGGACAACAGGGGUCUGAAAACAUGGUAAUCUUCUAAGGCAUUCUGUGACAUGCGCCUUAGAAUCAUUCCAUGAUAAGGAGAAGAGGCUGGGAUAUUAUCUACCAACUCCCACUCUCCAUUGGUUCAGAAUUUUUCUGACUUUCAGGUGCACUUUGAGGUAUGGCCAAGCUACCUCCCAGGUCAUGAAGAAGGUUCUCAGGAAGUGGGACCUUCAAGUAUUGUAAAUUCUCAAGAGAACCAAGGUGCUAUUAGAGAUUCAAGUCUAUCUAAAUUCAUAGCUAAAAAGAAGGAGGAAGAGGAGGAGAAGAAAAAGAAGGAGAACAAGAAGAAAGACAAAGCCUGUCUUUGGCGCCCAGCUCCAACCAAAGGCAGCAGUGAGAGGUUUGUUACAGGGACAAAAACCCACCCUCACAGCCAAGUGACCCUCCUCUCAAUAGCCUAUCCUGCUGUCACUGAAAUUCCCAUUGCUGCACUGCUCCUCAAAAUAAAACUCAGCUGUAAAUUGAACACCUGUUCUGGAUUAGUUACAAUAAAUCAGGGGCUAUUUCAGUUACAUAGACA